This 1061-nucleotide unclassified non-coding RNA is filed under the name leaf metagenome. RNAcentral's name for it is "partial contains internal transcribed spacer 1, 5.8S ribosomal RNA, internal transcribed spacer 2, and large subunit ribosomal RNA". The stretch from base 494 to 1061 matches the Rfam family "Eukaryotic large subunit ribosomal RNA", at positions 1 to 580 of the family's 3401-position model. The record is from RNAcentral.
UCAUUACUGAGUUUACGCUCUACAACCCUUUGUGAACAUACCUAUAACUGUUGCUUCGGCGGGUAGGGUCUCCGUGACCCUCCCGGCCUCCCGCCCCCGGGCGGGUCGGCGCCCGCCGGAGGAUAACCAAACUCUGAUUUAACGACGUUUCUUCUGAGUGGUACAAGCAAAUAAUCAAAACUUUUAACAACGGAUCUCUUGGUUCUGGCAUCGAUGAAGAACGCAGCGAAAUGCGAUAAGUAAUGUGAAUUGCAGAAUUCAGUGAAUCAUCGAAUCUUUGAACGCACAUUGCGCCCGCCAGCAUUCUGGCGGGCAUGCCUGUUCGAGCGUCAUUUCAACCCUCAAGCUCUGCUUGGUGUUGGGGCCCUACAGCUGAUGUAGGCCCUCAAAGGUAGUGGCGGACCCUCCCGGAGCCUCCUUUGCGUAGUAACUUUACGUCUCGCACUGGGAUCCGGAGGGACUCUUGCCGUAAAACCCCCAAUUUUCCAAAGGUUGACCUCGGAUCAGGUAGGAAUACCCGCUGAACUUAAGCAUAUCAAUAAGCGGAGGAAAAGAAACCAACAGGGAUUGCCUCAGUAACGGCGAGUGAAGCGGCAACAGCUCAAAUUUGAAAUCUGGCCCUAGGCCCGAGUUGUAAUUUGCAGAGGAUGCUUUUGGUGCGGUGCCUUCCAAGUUCCCUAGAACGGGACGCCAGAGAGGGUGAGAGCCCCGUACAGUUGGACACCAAGCCUUUGUAAAGCUCCUUCGACGAGUCGAGUAGUUUGGGAAUGCUGCUCAAAAUGGGAGGUAUAUUUCUUCUAAAGCUAAAUACCGGCCAGAGACCGAUAGCGCACAAGUAGAGUGAUCGAAAGAUGAAAAGCACUUUGAAAAGAGGGUUAAACAGCACGUGAAAUUGUUAAAAGGGAAGCGCUUGUGACCAGACUUGCGUCCGGUGAAUCACCCAGCUCUCGCGGCUGGGGCACUUCGCCGGCUCAGGCCAGCAUCAGCUCGCUGUCGGGGACAAAAGCUUCAGGAACGUAGCUCUCUUCGGGGAGUGUUAUAGCCUGUUGCAUAAUACCCUU